RNAcentral lists this ribosomal RNA (433 nucleotides) under uncultured bacterium. Its description in RNAcentral is "partial 16S ribosomal RNA". It matches the Rfam family "Bacterial small subunit ribosomal RNA", at positions 29 to 507 of the family's 1533-position model. The record is from RNAcentral.
AACGAACGCUGGCGGCAGGCCUAACACAUGCAAGUCGAACGGCUCCUUCGGGAUUAGUGGCGGACGGGUGAGUAACACGGGGGAACGUGCCCUUGGGUUCGGAACCACUCAGGGAAACUUGAGCUAAUACCGGAUGUGCCCUUCGGGGGAAAGAUUUAUCGCCAUUGGAGCGGCCCGCGUCUGAUUAGCUAGUUGGUGAGGUAACGGCCCACCAAGGCGACGAUCAGUAGCUGGUCUGAGAGGAUGAUCCGCCACACUGGGACUGAGACACGGCCCAGACUCCUACGGGAAGCAGCAGUGGGGAAUCUUGCGCAAUGGGCGAAAGCCUGACGCAGCCAUGCCGCGUGAAUGAUGAAGGUCUUAGGAUUGUAAAAUUCUUUCAGCGGGGACGAUAAUGACGGUACCCGCAGAAGAAGCUCCGGCUAACUUCGUG